Molecule: long non-coding RNA, 331 nt
Organism: Lycium barbarum (goji berry)
Lineage: Eukaryota; Viridiplantae; Streptophyta; Magnoliopsida; Solanales; Solanaceae
Exons: 2
Source: RefSeq, a predicted model, not a curated record
CCGAGGCGUAGAUUGGGAUUAGCUUUAGUCGGGUUAGCUUGGAGUGCGUACGAGGUACAGACGCACAGUUUGGUGAUCCACCAGUCUAGGACACCCUCUUCUGCCGUUUGGAGUGCUCUUCUCAUUUCAGAGCAUAUAUUUUGGUAUAUAUUCGUUCGCUGUGUAUGUAUAUAUUUGUUCAGGGGUACGGCGGGGCCCUGUCCCGUCAUAUGUUUCGGUUGGUCUGUUUAGAGGUCUGUAGACAUAUUUGUGGGUGUGUGUGCCUACUUCUGUUCAGAUGUGGUUGUAUGAUCUUAUUCGCUAUGGCAGCCUUGUCGGCGUGCAUUUUGUA